Non-coding RNA from Vicugna pacos (alpaca), 1696 nucleotides. The record is from RefSeq and is a predicted model, not a curated record. Lineage: Eukaryota; Metazoa; Chordata; Mammalia; Artiodactyla; Camelidae.
ACCCCGUGGCUUCCGCGCGCCUCGCGUCCGCACCUGCACGAACACGCGGCUGUCGGCCGGGACCUCGAGCACCCCCGCGCGGCGCGGGAAGCCAUCCUCUGAGUCUGACAGCUUCAGGCUGAAAAGGGGUCGGCGCAGCCAGGGCCCGGGCGCCGCGGGGAACAGGGGCGCUGGCGGGGAGAAAGGGUGGCAGAGAGGAGGGAGGGCGCGCUGCCCCUUAAUCCCCCCUGACAAACCUCUCCGCUGCCUUCUUUGGAAAAUGAAAGCAGCUGUGGUGGAGGAUUCACCCCUGCUCGGCUCCGAGCCUUGCACCAACGGAAAAGCUGCUGUGAUAUCCCCCUGGAGAGCCCUCUUCCCAGACCUUGAUUGCUCUACCCGCGGUGGGCGAGGGAAUCCGUGGCCAGGAAGGAGUGGAGGGGCGCCUGAUGCGGAGGGUCAAGCUGGGUGAGGCCACCAGGGUCUGGGACUUCUCCCUUUGUCCAGGUUCCUCACUCCCAUGCUGAGGGCAGCAGCAGCAAAGGGUGGAGGCAACAGGGGAGUGUGUGAGCGCCCACCCACAGGCCACACCACCAUACAGACAGCUGCCUUCAGGAGGCACUCAGCUGGUCCAGGACCAUGGGCACACAUGGGCCGCAGUAGUGUUUGCACAGACUGUGCCCAUCCCACUGCCCUUGGCCUCACCGCGGCUGCUGGAGAAGCUGGGGAUCCAAGAGAGCCUGGAAGACGGGGGACAGGGCAGACCCCACCUCCCACCCACCUGCUCCCCCAGGCUGGGUGGACAAGAGGUUGCACGAGAAAGGGCCACGCAGGAAUGGGCCUGUGCUGGGCCAUGUCCCCGCUCCUGUAUGUACCAGGUGGCUGGCUGGACGGGGUGGCCAGCCCCAAGAGCAGGGCCAGCAGCAGGAGCCUGGCGCCCAGCAUGCUGGACUGCCUGGGCCAAGGGCGUGCGGGGCGUGCGGGGCUGGCGGCAGAGGCACCAGUCCAGCAGCACCCAGGCUGGGCAGGUGGGCAGGCCGCCCUGUCCUUGGCUGGGUGGCCACUUGGGGAGGCAGGAAGUGGGGGCGGUGGACUGACGGGCCGACAUCAGAGCUGGCGCCCAAGGCCUGCCAGGGAUUAAGGGCUCUUCUCCCGCCUGGCCUGUGGCUAUUGGGGUGGAGGUGUGUGAGGUCCCUCACACUGGCCACUUGAUAUGGGGCCAGUCACUACCAACACUACCCUACCAGCCCCUAGCCCUGCCUCAGUCUCCCAUCCAUGCAGAGGCCUCAUCCACCAGAAUGGUGCUGAUCCACCAGCCCCACCACCCCCAAGGUCAGGGCUCACGGCCCCUUCGCCCAUUACACUGCCAAGUCCUGCCCGGCUCACAACACACCACAGACUCGGUGGAAGAAAAGGGAAGGGUUUUAUUCUCGAGCGUCUAAGGAUUUACAAACGAGGGUGUUUCAUUUUAAAAAGGGAUGGGGCAAUACUGGCAGCCUGAGAAGGGGUCGUGGGCCGGUGGGCCAAGCCAGGCCACCCCAGGCCCCUGCCUGCCUGCUCCGCCCUCUGCCUGGUCGAGAGAGGGAUGGCUGGUGACUGGUGACGGAGGAGGAAGGCAUGGGAGAGGCGGGGGAAGGAGAGGCUCUCGCUUAACACUGAAGGGGAUGGGGGCGGGGGGGACGGGUGGACACACACUCACAAAACAGAAAAUAAAGUUAAA